GCCUACGGGGCGCAGCAGUAGGGAAUAUUGCUCAAUGGGGGAAACCCUGAAGCAGCAACGCCGCGUGGAGGAUGAAGGUUUUAGGAUUGUAAACUCCUUUUGUUAGAGAAGAUUAUGACGGUAUCUAACGAAUAAGCACCGGCUAACUCCGUGCCAGCAGCCGCGGUAAUACGGAGGGUGCAAGCGUUACUCGGAAUCACUGGGCGUAAAGAGCGCGUAGGCGGGAUAGCAAGUCAGAUGUGAAAUCCUAUGGCUUAACCAUAGAACUGCAUUUGAAACUGUUAUUCUAGAGUAUGGGAGAGGCA
Molecule: ribosomal RNA, 305 nt
Filed under: uncultured bacterium
Lineage: Bacteria
Description: bacterial SSU rRNA
Rfam family: Bacterial small subunit ribosomal RNA
Source: RNAcentral